GCCAGGCGUGGUGGCACACGCCUGUAAUCCCAGCUGCUAGGCUCAGGAGGCUGAGGCAGGAGGAUCCAGAGUUCAAAGCCAGCCUCAGCAAUUGGCAAGGUACUAAGCAUCUGUGAGUGAGACCCUGUCUCUA
RNAcentral lists this small RNA (133 nucleotides) under Marmota monax (woodchuck). The record is from RNAcentral. Lineage: Eukaryota; Metazoa; Chordata; Mammalia; Rodentia; Sciuridae.